RNAcentral lists this unclassified non-coding RNA (395 nucleotides) under soil metagenome. RNAcentral describes it as "partial contains 5.8S ribosomal RNA, internal transcribed spacer 2, and large subunit ribosomal RNA". The stretch from base 1 to 122 matches the Rfam family "5.8S ribosomal RNA", at positions 35 to 154 of the family's 154-position model. The record is from RNAcentral.
GAUGAAGAACGUAGCGAAAUGCGAUACUUGGUGUGAAUUGCAGAAUCCCGUGAACCAUCGAGUCUUUGAACGCAAGUUGCGCCCGAAGCCAUCAGGUUGAGGGCACGUCUGCCUGGGCGUCACAUAUCGUUGCCCAAUGCCUAUUGCAGUGCAAUAGGAAUUUCUAGGGCGAAUGAUGGCUUCCCGUGAGCGUUGUUGCCUCGCGGUUGGUUGAAAAUCGAGUCCUAGGUAGGGUGUGCCAUGGUAGAUGGUGGUCGAGUUAGAACGAUACCGAUCAUGUGCAUGCUCCCCAAAAUAUGGCCUCUAUGACCCACACGCGUCUUUUGACGCUCAUGACGAGACCUCAGGUCAGGCGGGGCUACCCGCUGAAUUUAAGCAUAUCAAUAAGCGGAGGA